GACGAACGCUGGCGGCGUGCUUAACACAUGCAAGUCGAACGGAAAGGCCCUUCGGGGUACUCGAGUGGCGAACGGGUGAGUAACACGUGGGUGAUCUGCCCUGCACUUUGGGAUAAGCCUGGGAAACUGGGUCUAAUACCGAAUAGGACCACGCGCUUCAUGGUGUGUGGUGGAAAGCUUUUGCGGUGUGGGAUGGGCCCGCGGCCUAUCAGCUUGUUGGUGGGGUAAUGGCCUACCAAGGCGACGACGGGUAGCCGGCCUGAGAGGGUGACCGGCCACACUGGGACUGAGAUACGGCCCAGACUCCAACGGGAGGCAGCAGUGGGGAAUAUUGCACAAUGGGCGCAAGCCUGAUGCAGCGACGCCGCGUGAGGAAUGACGGCCUUCGGGUUGUAAACCUCUUUCACCAGGGACGAAGCGUAAGUGACGGUACCUGGAGAAGAAGCACCGGCCAACUACGUG
RNAcentral lists this ribosomal RNA (462 nucleotides) under uncultured bacterium. RNAcentral describes it as "partial 16S ribosomal RNA". It matches the Rfam family "Bacterial small subunit ribosomal RNA", at positions 28 to 507 of the family's 1533-position model. The record is from RNAcentral.